UGGAUUAUUCAGCAUUGCGAUAGAUCGUGCUAGUAGGCUUAGCACCACAUCAAUCUACAAAGAUACUUCCGGCUACCUGGAAAUGCACGAAAAUCAAAUAAACAGGAAACUCUGGAGUUGCAUGGCACCACGAAAAUGUGGAUUGACAUUUGAUACCGAACUGCAAUAAUCAUCACUGCUGCUGGUGUGCGCAAGGGCUGAAAACUUGCCUAGCCCAGGCAACGAUUCUCGUGUAGGAUUUUGAUGGCCUGCCUGGAUAUAAAAGCUGCCUGGCAGGUAGCAAGCAAACACGCCCGGGACGAAUGGAGAUGGGGAUAAUCAGGUUACUGUCAGGCGGAGCUCCAAGCUCCCAAGGGAUAGUAGCUUGCAGCGGUCGGGCACGGCGACGACAUCGGAAUUGGGGGGUGGGGCAGUGGCAGAUGGUCCCGAAGGAUUUUGGACGGUUUCCGACCUUACAUCGCGGCCGGAGGGCUCGGGCCAUUGCCAAUGGUAGGCGGUCGCAAGUAGAGGCGUAGCUGGCGAAGGUGGUGGCGUGGGGAUUGGGGUAGGAUGGAGGCGGGAUAAAGGGAAGGAAGAUGAGGCACGCAGUGGCCACGGCAGCGGCAUGACUGACGUCCAGAGGCAACUUCGGCGGUUCGGUUCCCGCAACAGGGUUUCAGUGAUUUUAUUUUUGGUUACGGAUGUUUACCUCGGCUGCGACGGCGAGCAGCAGCUUCUCCGCGGCGACGCCGGCGCAGGCUUUCAGUUGCAUUGGCCUAGGAGUAGGCAUUCACAGAGGAGUAGCGUGCUGCACGUUCCUAGAGCAUAGUUGAGCGAGA
RNAcentral lists this long non-coding RNA (818 nucleotides) under Zea mays. RNAcentral's name for it is "long non-coding RNA (ZMAY_LNC000695)". The record is from RNAcentral. Lineage: Eukaryota; Viridiplantae; Streptophyta; Magnoliopsida; Poales; Poaceae.